GAAUGCCUACGGGACGCAGCAGUGGGGAAUAUUGGGCAAUGGGCGCAAGCCUGACCCAGCAACGCCGCGUGAAGGAAGAAGGCUUUCGGGUUGUAAACUUCUUUUAAGAGGGAAGAGUAGAAGACGGUACCUCUUGAAUAAGCCACGGCUAACUACGUGCCAGCAGCCGCGGUAAUACGUAGGUGGCAAGCGUUGUCCGGAUUUACUGGGUGUAAAGGGCGUGUAGCCGGGCCGGCAAGUCAGAUGUGAUAUCCCAAGGCU
RNAcentral lists this ribosomal RNA (261 nucleotides) under uncultured bacterium. RNAcentral describes it as "partial 16S ribosomal RNA". It matches the Rfam family "Bacterial small subunit ribosomal RNA", at positions 333 to 609 of the family's 1533-position model. The record is from RNAcentral.